UGACGAGUGGCCGAGGCGGGAUUCGAACCCACGCCCUCUGACUCCCAAGCCCGGGCUCUUUCCACUGAGCUACGCCGAGAAAUAAUAUCGCUGCGGCCCAGGCAGCGUAGAAACGGCCUCUCCGAGCACCCGCUAGAUACGACUGCUCGGUUGCCGCUCUGUGCACCGAACGCGAGAGACCACCGUACUAAACGCCGGGGCCGGAACGACCACCCGUGUUGUACUGAACGUUCCCUGCCCCCGGAGAGCUGAGAGUUUAAUCAUCUCCCCGGGGCGCUGUACUGAACGCUCGGGAGAGCGCAAUCGACGGACGCAGUCCUGCCCACAACGAGCUCGCGGUUUAGGUCGGGGCGACGGGCAUCGAUAUGAAGAAAUAAAACCUACGCACGGCACCUAGAACGACGCUUAGCGUACGAGGAGAUCACUGAGGCCCAGAGAAGUGAAGCGACUGGCCC
This is a long non-coding RNA of Ornithorhynchus anatinus (platypus), 455 nucleotides long. RefSeq lists it as uncharacterized. The record is from RefSeq and is a predicted model, not a curated record. The transcript has 3 exons. NCBI's taxonomy places the organism in Eukaryota, Metazoa, Chordata, Mammalia, Monotremata, Ornithorhynchidae.